CUCGCCUGCUGAUGUUCUUGGUCCUGGUGCUUCUGAACCUUCGAUCACAGGUUGGACUGAUGCCUUGCGCGAGGUUCAUUCCUUGGUCGGAGAUCGUUUUCGUCAGAAGCUUCGCGGCAUGGACUUUGACACGCUCCUUCGCGUGCAAUAUGAGCACCAUAGCCUUGGUCACCACAUGGCUGCCGCCUUAGAGGAGCGUUGCUCCCGGGAGGUUAUCUGCCGUGAUGAGGCAAUUGGUGUUCUGAAGAAGGAGAACGAGACCUUGGAGGCUGAGAAGGCUCGUCUGUCGGAGGAGGUUAGGGAGUUU
Sorghum bicolor (sorghum) is the source of this 307-nucleotide long non-coding RNA. RefSeq lists it as uncharacterized. The record is from RefSeq and is a predicted model, not a curated record. Lineage: Eukaryota; Viridiplantae; Streptophyta; Magnoliopsida; Poales; Poaceae. The transcript has 4 exons.